Long non-coding RNA from Triticum urartu, 2876 nucleotides. RefSeq lists it as uncharacterized. The record is from RefSeq and is a predicted model, not a curated record. Lineage: Eukaryota; Viridiplantae; Streptophyta; Magnoliopsida; Poales; Poaceae.
UCUCCCACCUAUCCUAAACGCACGCGCACGACACAUCUCCUCCCUCAGUCCCUCGAUCCAGAUCCAGAUCCACAUCGCCUCCGCCUCCCUCUCCCCGAUCCAGAUCGCCGCCGCCACCCCUCCGCCACCCAAUGCCAUCCAUCCUCCCUUCCUUUGCCGGCGCCCCUUCCUCCCAACAACCUCUUUGCCCACGACCAUGGCAAGGAUCCAAAGCAGGUCAGCCGGCGGCGGCCAUGGCGCAUCUCUUCCUCACCCCAUAGCCGGCGGCGACCAUGGCAAGUCACCAGAGACGGGCGGAGCGGGAGGGGCUCGCGCCGCCGGGACAGACCCCCCCCCCCCCCCCCCCCCCCCCCCCUCCGACGACGCGGCUGGUGCGGGAGGGCUUCAACUCUUCUCAGGCGGGGCGGCCGUCGUCAACGGGCGCCAGUGGAUGUGCGGGCGCCACGUGAUGCGCCACUUCGGGUUGGACUGCCACGGCCUCCCCGCCGACUUGGCGAAGAAGGCGAAGAAGGGGAGGUCGCCGCUGGCGGAGGAGAUGGAGGCCUUCUUCGCCGCGGCGGAGGGCGACGUCGCGCGGCGCUUCGCUGCCAAAUGAGUACCGUGCAUGCAUGGGUUAGGCUUGGCAACAGCUUCAUCCUACUAGUCCUAUGCUCUUGAGGAAAAGCUGCUGCGGAUUUAUAUGGGAGUAGCUUAGCAAUGCAUGCGUAGCAGUGGGCCUGUAAAUUCUGCUCAAGGAGCCUCUGGUACAACUAUGACGUCGUCGCAGACGCUCCCAUGGAUGGGCAUCGGCAAGCUCCCAUGCUGAGAUCGACAAGCUCGACCUCGGCAUCGGCAAGUACAACAAGACCUGUUGCAGCAUCGUCACCAAGCACGUCGCCGAGUGGGAGGCCGUCGUCAUGCACAUGGGGAGGUGGAUCGACUACAAGGCCGACUUGCAAGGGGAGGUGGUCCAUCGCCUUGGCCGUCCUCACCGUCGGCUUCUCUCCUCUAAGUUAUCCCACUGAUUCCUCCCCUCUGCUUAUCUCCCAUGCUCUAUGUGGUAAAUCUUAUGAUGGCCUUGGCGCCAUGGAAAUUUCUGCUUUGGCCAUAAGAUCUUGGACUUGCUGUCAUCUUGGAUUGAUUAUAAGCUUGAUGUUGUCUUGGCUUCUUAGAACUAAGAAUAGUAACCCUCCAAAGUGAUAAUAUUCAGAAGCUCAUUGCACAUUUAGCUCUGAAGAAUUGUUCUACUCACAUUUUAUAUCAAACUUCUUACACAUUCAGAUCAGCUAGUACCAGGAGCUAGUGGUUGAGAGCUCUAGUUGUUGCACAAUGGCAAGAACUUUGAAUCAAUUUGGUAGUCCUAGUGCUGGCUGCUGCUACUGUAAUUCUGGAUAUGAUGAUAAUUACUUUAUGUAAUUAUUAAGCUCAUGAGGUGAUGACGAUAAACUAGGAUACAUAUUGAAGUGUAUGUAUUACAUGGUUCAUACUAGGUCAUUGCAAUUUUUGUUUGUUUGGUAUACAUUUAUUAAUCAGGCUGCUAAAAUAAAAAUGUUGGGUGCUUUCAUUGCCUGCAUGUUUAGUUAAGUGAGAGCCAGCUACCUGCAAGGUUGUUUGCAGGUCUAAUGAUGUGUGAAGAGCAGGCUUGCAAUGCCUGUCUUUUCUCAUAUUGCUCCAAACGUAACUAUGGCCUUCUCAUGAGGGGAUUCUAUGGCCUGUCCCCAUUUCUCUUUGUAGGUAAAGAUGUUGAUUUAGGUCCAGAUGGGUGUCUGCGCAAUUUAGCCUUUUUGUUUCUUGUGUCCCUAGUUUAGGUGUGUGUUCAAGCAAAAAAAGGUGGGUGUUGAUGUUGUUAUUGUGUCCUGGAGCCUCGAGUAAAGGGCAAGGAUGCAAUGCUUGUCGUUCUCAUACUGCUCCAAAGAGUAACCGUGGCCUUCUCAUGUAGAGUAUUGAUGCCUUGUGUAGGUAAUUAGUAUUAUGUCCAUGUUGUUGUUGGCUAGAUGGUAAUGGCUCAUCAGAAUAUACACACACGAGUGUAUCAUGUAACAAUUGGCAGAGUCACCAGAAUAUAUACACAUUAAAUCUAUUGUUCUGUUUUAUCAUUGUGCUGCAUAUGUUUCUAACUCCACUAUUUCUAUUUUUCUUUAUCACCUUAUCCAACAUUGUAGAUUCCUGUAUUGAUGCAUGCCAACUAUGAAUAUGAUCUUGCAUUAAGCUUUAGCUGGCUGUUAAUUAUGUUGUGCUAGCUGCUGUCUAACCAUGGCCUGCGGUGGCUGGGUGUUUCUUUUGGGCACAGGUGACUUGUACACGAAGUUGUACGACUAGGUGUUUCUUUUGGGUGUGUCCAGCACAUGUUCGAGUUCACUUGCGAUGGGAUUUUGCCUGAUAGGUGUUUGUGGAAAGUGGUGAGGAGAUGUUGAUGAUGCCUACUUACUUGGCUGCUAUGGUGAUGCAUGUACCGGUGAAGCAAGCACACAUGCAAGGCUGGCCCCAUGUAUCUUCCUUGGCUGUGAAUAUCAUCUACAGGAUAGCAGUAUGACCAGGACAAGCUACAAGCUCCCAGCGCGUCUGAUCCAGGGUGCUAGGGCCAACCUGUUACGGAAGAUGGCCAUGCUCACGAGCCCCUUUGGAUCAAAAUAGGAUGGCAAGUUGUGGCAGCUGGAGCAUGUCUCGUAAGAGAGAGCAAUCAAAUCCCUCUAUUGUAUAUUCCGUAAAAAGGCUGUUCUGUAAAAAAAUACAUUGUACUAUUAUGAUAGUAGCAGAUGUGCCUUCAUUUUCUUUAUUGUAUAUUACCUCUGUUCCUGCUAUAUUUCUGUGUAGGGAAAUGUAUUCCUGAGAUGAUUUUUUGUGUUAUGUAAACCUGGGAGAUGUUUUAUGUGAUGUGAUAUGAUGGUUGACUUGAA